Non-coding RNA from Musa acuminata subsp. malaccensis (wild Malaysian banana), 940 nucleotides. The record is from RefSeq and is a predicted model, not a curated record. Lineage: Eukaryota; Viridiplantae; Streptophyta; Magnoliopsida; Zingiberales; Musaceae.
AUGUCCACUCAUUUUAUUAAAAUAAAUAAUUUCCAAUGGAACCCACACUACAGCGCGUGGACCAGGGCCGUUGGAAGCUAUGGCGUGGGACUCGAGGGUGGUACACCCAAUAAAGAAAGCGGUUUCCCGAUCCGAUAAUGGACGGUUACGAUGUGGGGAUUCGAGGGUCCGCGAUGGUCGGCAAAGGCGGUGGCGAUCCUUUCAUGUCGUCCUGCUUCUUCCCCACCAACAUCAUCGCCGGAUAUCCAGUCGGACCGCGCUGCGUCACGCCGCGCCGCCUCGCGGGAUCCGACCCGCAACCGCGAAGGAUGAGAUAGUCGUCGGAGUAGACAUUCUGUUUUUGCUAUGAAAUUUGUGGAUUUUCUUGGAUGAGUUUGGGUUCGAUUUUUCCGACAAUUGUUGAAAUUGUAAAUGUCAAUUACUUUGGAAUAAAGAAAUAGGGAAUUCUUUGCAAAUGGAGUUUUGAGGUAAAUCAUGGAUUGGUGAUAGAGAUCUGAAGACCUAGCACGUCAUUUCAUUGGUAUUUGGUAGGAGCAGACCAGGAUGAUUUGGGUUCGCAUGUUCCAUUGCUCUUUCAAUUCCCAAACGAAUAUGAUUCUUCUUUCUUUCCCCUCACUACCUCUUGGAUUUGGAGGAGACUUGUCGAUGGCGCAUAAUUGCUGACGAAGCCAUUGGGAUGAGAAGUAGGCGCACCACUUUUUUGGUGGAUCUUGAACUUUUAGAUGAUCAGAUGGAAGCUGAAGAAUCAAAAGAAAAACAACUCCCAUAGAAACAAACCAAAAGUCAAUUUGUAUCUACCAUUGUCACAAUCAUUGUAGGUUAUGAAAAAGGAUAAGCUACGUGGAAAGAGGGGAAUUCUUGUCCUGGAAUAAUUCUUGAUCUUUAUUUUAACAUUGUAUCAUACAUUCAUCCCCUUGAGAAUUAUGAUUUUUCCCUUAAA